GCCGGGUGUGGUGGUGCACACCUGUAAUCCCAGCUACUCAGGAGGCUGAGACAGGAGAAUCGCUUGAACUCGGGAGUUGGAGGUUGCAGUGAGCCGAGAUUGUGCCACUGCACUCCAGCCCGGGCGACAGAGUGAGACUCCGUCUCUA
RNAcentral lists this signal recognition particle RNA (148 nucleotides) under Nomascus leucogenys (northern white-cheeked gibbon). Its description in RNAcentral is "Metazoan signal recognition particle RNA". It matches the Rfam family "Metazoan signal recognition particle RNA". From Rfam's summary of the family: The signal recognition particle (SRP) is a universally conserved ribonucleoprotein. It is involved in the co-translational targeting of proteins to membranes. The record is from Rfam by way of RNAcentral. Lineage: Eukaryota; Metazoa; Chordata; Mammalia; Primates; Hylobatidae.